This 70-nucleotide transfer RNA is filed under the name Trimma okinawae (Okinawa rubble goby). RNAcentral's name for it is "tRNA-Pro". It matches the Rfam family "tRNA". From Rfam's summary of the family: Transfer RNA (tRNA) molecules are approximately 80 nucleotides in length. Their secondary structure includes four short double-helical elements and three loops (D, anti-codon, and T loops). Further hydrogen bonds mediate the characteristic L-shaped molecular structure. tRNAs have two regions of fundamental functional importance: the anti-codon, which is responsible for specific mRNA codon recognition, and the 3' end, to which the tRNAs corresponding amino acid is attached (by aminoacyl-tRNA synthetases). tRNAs cope with the degeneracy of the genetic code in two manners: having more than one tRNA (with a specific anti-codon) for a particular amino acid; and 'wobble' base-pairing, i.e. permitting non-standard base-pairing at the 3rd anti-codon position. Lineage: Eukaryota; Metazoa; Chordata; Actinopteri; Gobiiformes; Gobiidae. The record is from RNAcentral.
CAAAGAAUAGUUUAUUUUAAAACGUUAGCUUUGGGAGCUAAUGAUGGGAGUUAAAAUCUCUCUUCUUUGA